Molecule: long non-coding RNA, 763 nt
Organism: Erpetoichthys calabaricus (reedfish)
Lineage: Eukaryota; Metazoa; Chordata; Cladistia; Polypteriformes; Polypteridae
Exons: 2
Source: RefSeq, a predicted model, not a curated record
UCACUCCUCUACAAAGUCUUACUACUUUUUUGUUCAGUUCUCUCUGUUACUUCCUUCAUCUCACUCUUCUCUCUGCAACUGUAACCUUCCUCCAACAACUCUGCUUUGUUUUUCCCAUGCAUUUCUCUUCUAUAGUCUCCUCUGCUCUCCAUCCUCCUGGCCAGUUUUCCUCUCUCGAAACCAACACUGCCACAGACACCCUAUGCUUGACUCUGUCCUCUUGUCUUGAUAUUGUUUGUCCUUUGUCUUACAGACCUGCAAGAGAAAUACCCUCCUGUACCCAGCUUUCCAAAGCACUCAGCAAUCAACAGACCGAGAUCAGGACAGCCAAAAGGAAAUGAAGGAAGUCCAAAGCUCUGACAGAGCUGGCUAAGUAUCAGUCCCCUCUUGCAUCUUUUUUUUCUGCUACCAUCAAUGUUAAGUAGUAGUUCUACCAGACUAGAAUUAAAAGAACCACCAAUACACACUCCAUCUCCACUUUCACCUCCUUUCUUAACCCUCCUCCACCUCCUCCCCCAACCCCCCUGUCUGCUGAUUACUUUUUUUUUCAGGAUAGGGUGGUUUCUAUCACCAGCCAGUUGUUGCCCUCGCUGCCACCCAUUAUGCCUCCUUCCAAGCAUCUCCCAACAUUCCCCACAUUCUCUAAACUCUCCACCACUGAUAUUUCUGACCUCCUCUCCAAUCACCCCACUACCUGACCACUUGACCCUAUUCCCUCACAGUUCCUUCUGGCCCUCACCCCUCACUCAUUUCUGUAGUUACA